RNAcentral lists this ribosomal RNA (253 nucleotides) under uncultured bacterium. RNAcentral's name for it is "partial 16S ribosomal RNA". It matches the Rfam family "Bacterial small subunit ribosomal RNA", at positions 524 to 776 of the family's 1533-position model. The record is from RNAcentral.
UACAGAGGGUGCAAGCGUUAAUCGGAAUUACUGGGCGUAAAGCGUGCGUAGCCGGUUAUUUAAGUCAGACGUGAAAUCCCUCAGCUUAACUGGGGAACUGCGUCUGAUACUGGAUGGCUUGAGUUUGGGAGAGGGAUGCGGAAUUCCAGGUGUAGCGGUGAAAUGCGUAGAUAUCUGGAGGAACACCGGUGGCGAAGGCGGCUCUCUGGAACGGUACUGACGCUGAGACGCGAAAGCGUGGGGAGCGAACAGG